UACGUAGGGUGCGAGCGUUAAUCGGAAUUACUGGGCGUAAAGCGUGCGCAGGCGGUUCGUUGUGUCUGAUGUGAAAGCCCCGGGCCCAACCUGGGAAUGGCAUUGGAAACUGGCGAGCUAGAGUGUGGCAGAGGGGGGUGGAAUUCCGCGUGUAGCAGUGAAAUGCGUAGAGAUGCGGAGGAACACCGAUGGCGAAGGCAGCCCCCUGGGCUGACACUGACGCUCAGGCACGAAAGCGUGGGGAGCAAACAGG
RNAcentral lists this ribosomal RNA (253 nucleotides) under uncultured bacterium. Its description in RNAcentral is "partial 16S ribosomal RNA". It matches the Rfam family "Bacterial small subunit ribosomal RNA", at positions 524 to 776 of the family's 1533-position model. The record is from RNAcentral.